This 77-nucleotide transfer RNA is filed under the name Desulfovibrio sp. OttesenSCG-928-G11. RNAcentral describes it as "tRNA-Pro". It matches the Rfam family "tRNA". From Rfam's summary of the family: Transfer RNA (tRNA) molecules are approximately 80 nucleotides in length. Their secondary structure includes four short double-helical elements and three loops (D, anti-codon, and T loops). Further hydrogen bonds mediate the characteristic L-shaped molecular structure. tRNAs have two regions of fundamental functional importance: the anti-codon, which is responsible for specific mRNA codon recognition, and the 3' end, to which the tRNAs corresponding amino acid is attached (by aminoacyl-tRNA synthetases). tRNAs cope with the degeneracy of the genetic code in two manners: having more than one tRNA (with a specific anti-codon) for a particular amino acid; and 'wobble' base-pairing, i.e. permitting non-standard base-pairing at the 3rd anti-codon position. Lineage: Bacteria; Pseudomonadati; Thermodesulfobacteriota; Desulfovibrionia; Desulfovibrionales; Desulfovibrionaceae. The record is from RNAcentral.
CGGAGCGUGGCGCAGCCUGGUAGCGCACCUGCUUUGGGAGCAGGAUGUCGCAGGUUCAAAUCCUGUCGCUCCGACCA